AGCGCAGGCGGUGACUUAAGUCUGAUGUGAAAGCCCACGGCUCAACCGUGGAAGGUCAUUGGAAACUGGGUCACUUGAAUAUAGAAGAGGAAAGUGGAAUUCCAUGUGUAGCGGUGAAAUGCGUAGAUAUAUGGAGGAACACCAGUGGCGAAGGCGACUUUCUGGUCUAUUAUUGACGCUGAGGCUCGAAAGCAUGGGUAGCAAACA
RNAcentral lists this ribosomal RNA (207 nucleotides) under uncultured Lactobacillales bacterium. Its description in RNAcentral is "partial 16S ribosomal RNA". It matches the Rfam family "Bacterial small subunit ribosomal RNA", at positions 568 to 774 of the family's 1533-position model. Lineage: Bacteria; Bacillati; Bacillota; Bacilli; Lactobacillales. The record is from RNAcentral.